This 264-nucleotide unclassified non-coding RNA is filed under the name uncultured fungus. RNAcentral describes it as "sequence contains ITS1, 5.8S rRNA gene". The stretch from base 216 to 264 matches the Rfam family "5.8S ribosomal RNA", at positions 1 to 49 of the family's 154-position model. The record is from RNAcentral. Lineage: Eukaryota; Fungi.
UCUCUGUAGGUGAACCUGCAGAGGGAUCAUUACCGAGCGAGGGCCCCCGGGCCCGACCUCCAACCCCGUAACUACCUUACCAUCCGUUGCCUCGGCGGGCCGUCGACCCCCUCGCGGGCGUCGCCGUCGGCCCCCGCGCCCUCGAGCGCCCGCCGCAGGACCAACCGCAAACCCCUCGCGAACCCAGCGGACUGAAACGAAAUUAAAUACUUCAAAACUUUCAACGACGGAUCUCUUGGUUCUGGCAUCGAUGAAGAACGCAGC